ACGCUGGCGGCGUGCCUAACACAUGCAAGUCGAACGGGGAUUUGUUUCGGCAGGAUCCUAGUGGCGAACGGGUGAGUAACGCGUAGGCAACCUGCCCUCCGGCCGGGGACAACACUCCGAAAGGGGUGCUAAUACCGGAUACGAAGUCUGUGCCGCAUGGUACGGAUUUGAAAGAUGGCCUCUAUUUAUAAGCUAUCGCCGGGGGAUGGGCCUGCGUCCGAUUAGCUGGUUGGUGGGGUAACGGCCUACCAAGGCGACGAUCGGUAGCCGGUCUGAGAGGAUGAACGGCCACAUUGGGACUGAGACACGGCCCAGACUCCUACGGGAGGCAGCAGUGGGGAAUCUUCCGCAAUGGGCGCAAGCCUGACGGAGCAACGCCGCCGUGAGUGAGGAAGUUCUUCGGAACGUAAAGCUCUGUUGUUCCUGACGAACCUCCCCUCUAUCAACAACGGAGGGGACUGACGGUAGGGAACGAGGAAGCCACGGCUAACUACGUGCCAGCCGCCGC
RNAcentral lists this ribosomal RNA (508 nucleotides) under uncultured bacterium. RNAcentral describes it as "bacterial SSU rRNA". It matches the Rfam family "Bacterial small subunit ribosomal RNA", at positions 33 to 518 of the family's 1533-position model. The record is from RNAcentral.